GGAGGGCAGAGCCGAGCAGAGCCUGGGGGAUUCUGCGGCUCCUUCAGCCGCCCUCGGGCUCCCUCACCGCCUCCCAGCGCGGGGAGAGGCCACGCGCAGGGUUCUGGCUGGAUAUGGCCGCCGUGGUGGCACCCAGCGCCCUCAGGAAGAGCCCGGCGGUGGUGAGGGGUCGGUGCCCCCUCAGAGCCACGGGAAGGGUUUCAGGUUCAUUACUGUCCCCUCGAGGGGAAGGCACCAAAAGCUCUCAAAAGCCCUAAAACUCCAGCUGCACCCACUGAGAAUGGAAAUAACUGCAGAGUGCCCCUCCUCUGCCGUGGCCACGUCCCGGGAGUGAGGGAGGAGUCACACGAAGCCCUUUGAUGUUCUCAGAUUUGGGAUUCAAACAGCUCCGGUCGUGUGGAGCAAAAUCUGGAGCCAUCCUUGCCCGUGGCAAGGCCUCGUUCCUCCCAGGACAGGGUGACCCAAAGGGGAAAACAGAAUUUAAUACAUUCUCCUUGCAUCGGGAAUUACUUGGCAAAGCUGGUGGUGCACAGGGGACCAGACUCCAAGAUGAAAACCAAGCCUUGCUGAAAUCUGAAAGCACAGAUUGCACCCUGGAUGAAUGUGGGCAGGAGCUGGAUGAAUAAAGAGGGCUUCACUCACAGCAACAGUUCUAAAUCCACUUAAAAUACUUGCUGUAAUAGGAAAAAAAAACCACCUUUGUCAUGCAGAGAAAGGCAAGACAUCUAAGAAAAACCAUUUGAAAAACCCCCCACCACAAAACUCACCCUGGCACUGGACUUCUGAAACAGGUUCCAAAGAGCAGCUGCAAGUGUGUGGGAUAAGAUCAGGACAUCAAUACAUAAUGCUUGUUCUCCAGCAGACAGACUUCAUUUGUCCUGUCAACAUGAGCUAAUUAAUAAUUAAAAAGGGCACUGUGAUCCUGAUGUGGGAGGUCCUAUAAAAAUGAAAAUUCAAGCAA
This is a long non-coding RNA of Passer montanus (Eurasian tree sparrow), 961 nucleotides long. RefSeq lists it as uncharacterized. The transcript has 4 exons. The record is from RefSeq and is a predicted model, not a curated record. NCBI's taxonomy places the organism in Eukaryota, Metazoa, Chordata, Aves, Passeriformes, Passeridae.